Dreissena polymorpha is the source of this 2725-nucleotide long non-coding RNA. RefSeq lists it as uncharacterized. NCBI's taxonomy places the organism in Eukaryota, Metazoa, Mollusca, Bivalvia, Myida, Dreissenidae. The transcript has 2 exons. The record is from RefSeq and is a predicted model, not a curated record.
GGAAACGCGAUCGAGCAUAGCUCAGCUGAAACGAAAUGUUGUAAUUGUCAAGUGCUUGUCGGGCGUGUUAUGAAAAUACACCACGAAGUAGAACAUAAAGUAAUUCUUACAAAGCAAAAGGACUAUAGGGUCAUCAUGGUAGUAAAAGUAUUUCUUUGGAAAAGUUCUUCGAAGAAAAGCUUUGGCCACAUCUCAAUGGAGCUAGAAGAUGGGACAUACAUAAGUUGGUGGCCUGAAACUCGGAUGGAAGAUUUAGUCCAAGCGGCAAUAGGAACUAAUGCGAAAUGGUUCGAGAGCCUGAAUGCCGAGAUAAAUCACAACCAAGCAUCGCCAACCGAGACAUUUUAUCUUCUUGGCCUGAAUGAGGGAAAUAUUAAGGUUUGGUUCCAAGGGUACCUAUCGGGGUCAUGCAAAUGGGAUAUUAUGACAAGGAGUUGUGCUGCGAUUGUGUACCAUGCGCUAUGUGAAGGCGCGGAUUUCUUCGCGGGAAAAGCUACGGAUAUUGUGACACCUGAAGGAGUCGCCGAACUUGUUCGGAGGUACACAACAGAUAAGAAAGUGGACAAAGUCGUUGUUUCCAGCUGCAAGCCGAAAAUUAAAUAAACUGCGAGUUUAUUGUGUCAAUAAUGAAAGUUAAGUGAAGUAACAUUGAAAGAUACUUACUAUUUUCACUUCGGCAGAGGUUAUAGUACUCACAACUAAAUUUUAAUGUAAUAACGUUUGAAAUAUUGAGUUGUUCGAGAAUAUGUCUUAUGUAGCCUUUACAAAGUAUUUUUAUCGAACAUAUCCACAAGGCGAACGUGUUUACGAAUAUGACCGUUUAUAUGUUCUGUAGUUUGACAGACUAUUUUAUUUAAAAGGCCAGUAAUCGGCUCGGUAUACAGACCUCUUUACGUAUAUGAACAGUAAUUGGCUUUUUAUGUCCCCCACCACAUAGUGGGGGAUAUAUUUUUUUUGCCCUGUCUGUUGGUUGGUUGGUUGGUUGGUUGUAGGUUUGUUUUUUUGCUCCAACUUUAACAUUUUGCCAUUACUUUUGCAAUAUUGAAGAUAGUUAGCAACUUCAUAUUUGGCAUGCAAGUUUAUCUCAUGGAGCUGCACAUUUUGAGUGGUGAAAGGUCAAGGUAAUCCUUUAAGGUCAAAAGUCAAAUACAUAGCUUCAAAGCGGCGCAGUAGUGGACAUAGUGUUUCUGACAAACACAUAUCUUGUUAUUACCUGUUUUCGUAUAUCACUAGUAAUAGGCUCGCAUGUGUGCCUUCUGCGACUAUUAGGUAGCUAGUGAUGUUUAAUAAUACAUAAAACAUUAGACAUUCGCACAUGUCUUAGUUUGUUUGAAAAAGUUGUGAUAUUGAUUUAUCUUCCGAUUCUCUUUUAUUUAGACGGUCAUUCAUUCAUUGAAAUGAGCAGUCGGGUAGGAUAAUGUACUUUGAAAUUGAUGUUCAGGGGUGUCUAGUUAAUACAGUUUACAUAUUUCUACGCGAUUUAUAGCUCUUUGCCUGUUAUUAUUUCGCAUAAUAUGCUCCGUUACUGAUUUGAAAUUAGCAAAAGCUUAUUUGCGUGUAACGCGCAACAAACUCGGCUAUUCGAUGCUUAUUGUAACAUUUAAAGGGGCCGUCCAACAGAUUUUGGCAUGUAUUGAAGCUUGUCAUUAAAUGCUUUUAUAUUGAUAAAUUUAAACAUUUGAACUAAAAAUCUCGUGUAAAAAAAAGAAUACAAUUUAAAAAAAAGGAAAAAAGUAAACCUCACCAGGGCUCGAUCCACGGACCCCUGGAGUCCUGGAGUAUAAAGCCUCCGCCUAGACCACUCGACCAUCCUCGCUCAUGUUUUGAGCGGAUGUAUUUUAUAGCUUUAUAAGCAAUCCUCGUAGUUUCCCAAAAUAUCGUUUCGCGUCGAUACGACGCUUUAUCUGUUGGACGGCCCCUUUAAUAAUCAUCGUUAAAUAAAGUAAUAAUGCUCACUGCGGUAUCGUACUUGUUUCAAUUCAUCUAUUCAACUGACUUAUUCUUGCAUAUCAUAUUCAUUCAUGUACUUGUGCAUAGUCAAUAAUGAUUUAAUAUGGUCAACAUGUAUUCAUAUAAUUAUAAGAGACCAAUAGCAAACAAAUGCUUACAUUGAUUACAUAAUCUUAUUUAUUCACAUUAAAUAAACGACACUUUUAUACACAUUACAUGAAUUAUGACCGUAGUUAAUAUAAAGUAAAACACACACACUAUGAAACCAAAACCACUUUUGAUCUGCGGAAUUAAACAUAUAACUACAGUAUCAAACAAAAAUGUAUGAACAUUAACUAGAAUCAGUUUUAAAAACAAAUAGAUCUAAUGAACUUGCAUAUGGUGAUUAAAGGGGCCUUUUCACAGAUUGGCAUAUUUUGAAGUUAGUCAUUAAAUGCUUUAUAAUGAUAAAUGUAAACAUUGGAUCUUAAAAGCUCCAGUCAAAAAUCUAGAAUAAAAUUUAAAAAAAGGAAAAAAAGUAGCCGGUACCAGGGCUCGAACCAGUGACCCUCGGAGUCGUGGAGUUAGGCUGGAGUAAAAACGCAAUAGCCCUCUCGGCUAUUCCGCCGAGUGUACAUGUGAUAGGUAUUUUAUACGUUAUAUAAUACAUACCUUACUAUAUAUAGUAACAAAUUUGUACAGUUGUUCAUGCUAUUAUCACCAUUGCGGGGUCAUUAUAAAUAUUCUGCCCUAGGGCCGAUUAUUUAUAUUCGGCCCUCAGAAUGUGUGCGCGUGA